RNAcentral lists this ribosomal RNA (252 nucleotides) under uncultured bacterium. RNAcentral describes it as "partial 16S ribosomal RNA". It matches the Rfam family "Bacterial small subunit ribosomal RNA", at positions 524 to 776 of the family's 1533-position model. The record is from RNAcentral.
UACGUAGGUCCCGCGCGUUAUCCGGAUUUAUUGGGCGUAAAGCGCGCGCAGGCGGUUAGAUAAGGCUGAAGUGAAAGGCUGUGGCUUAACCAUAGUAUGCUUUGGAAACUGUUUAACUUGAGUGCAGAAGGGGAGAGUGGAAUUCCAUGUGUAGCGGUGAAAUGCGUAGAUAUAUGGAGGAACACCGGUGGCGAAAGCGGCUCUCUGGUCUGUAACUGACGCUGAGGCUCGAAAGCGUGGGGAGCAACCAGG